UGCGGGGUGGAGCAGCCUGGUAGCUCGUCGGGCUCAUAACCCGAAGGUCGUCCGUUCGAAUCGGACCCCCGCUACCA
Molecule: transfer RNA, 77 nt
Filed under: Omnitrophica bacterium RIFCSPHIGHO2_02_FULL_46_20
Lineage: Bacteria; Pseudomonadati; Candidatus Omnitrophota
Also listed under: 2 other names
Description: tRNA-Met
Rfam family: tRNA
About the family: Transfer RNA (tRNA) molecules are approximately 80 nucleotides in length. Their secondary structure includes four short double-helical elements and three loops (D, anti-codon, and T loops).
Source: RNAcentral